This 942-nucleotide ribosomal RNA is filed under the name Triticum aestivum (bread wheat). RNAcentral's name for it is "partial small subunit ribosomal RNA". Lineage: Eukaryota; Viridiplantae; Streptophyta; Magnoliopsida; Poales; Poaceae. The record is from RNAcentral.
AUGGCUGCCAAGGUCACCUCAUCCUCAUGCUUUGCUUUCCUAAAGGAAGCGCUGAUCCUGCCCACGCUAAACCCCAAGCUCUUCGCGCCGGUGCUCCUCCUCUUUGCCAUCACCGCCUUCCUUGACUCCUUGGACGAUGUCGUGUUCGUCCAGCCUCUCGUCGACGACAUGGGCAGCCGUCUCAUCGCGGUCAACAGCACCGACCCCUUGGGCGCCGAGUACACCAAGCUCACGGAGGAGACAGAGCCAGGCGGUAGCGGUACAAAGCUCCUCCUCAUCACCAUCGCCCAGCUGGUCGUCGGUGGUCUGGCGCUCGGCCUCGUCAAGCAGAUCCUCGCCCUCUUCGCAGCCUCCACGACCUACUCCGGCGACCGCUACUCGCUAGCAGAGCUCCUGCGUGAGCUGGUCAAGGGGAGGAUCAGCGUGAAGGGCCCUUCCGUCACCAUCGCCGUCGUCGACGCGCUUGACUUCGCAUCGGCGGUCCUGGCCGCGCUGAUUCCCACUCCCGCCCUGAUGGGCGGGCUCUCGGGGGUGCUCUCCGUCCAGGGUCUCGUCUCCCACCUCGCGAACCACGUCUCCCUCUGCUUCACCGUCGUCGCGCUGGUGGGCGUCACCGCGUCGGCGGUCGACAGGAGGUGCAGCGGCGUGCGCGCGCUCCGGCAGGCGUGGCGGCUCGUGACGCGGGUGAGGAGGAAGGAGGGACUCGUGCUGGUGCUCAUGGCAUACCUCGGGCCUACCGCCGUGACUCCGCUGCACGGGUUCGCUCUUGGGUAUGCCAAGAGGAGCACGGCGGCGUGCUUGUGCUUGCUGGCGGUGUAUGGCCUUCUGUCUGGCGCGCAGGAGCUCUUCUCCUUGGCGGCGACCACGGUGUACUACUACCAAGCCAUGGAGAGCAAGGAGGUGAUCGAUGCCUUGUGCUUACUAGUAAGCGUGCAUGUGUAA